UAGGGCUCAUCUAAGACCUAAGAUGGCGGCGUUUCCAUGGCGUGUAAGCGCUGCAGGCGUACCAGAUAUGGAAAGGCGGCCAAAGGACGAAUCUACUAAGGAGUGUCCAAGAACUCGCCGAUAUUUGUGUUGUGG
Tursiops truncatus (common bottlenose dolphin) is the source of this 135-nucleotide non-coding RNA. Lineage: Eukaryota; Metazoa; Chordata; Mammalia; Artiodactyla; Delphinidae. The record is from Rfam.